GGUGAUGAUGAUGAGUGCUGUAUAUUCUGACACCUCUUGUAUGAGAUGAAUCGUAAGAUUCAUUGUUGAGCACAUAAAGCAACUCUCUGAGCC
RNAcentral lists this small nucleolar RNA (93 nucleotides) under Cicer arietinum (chickpea). RNAcentral describes it as "Small nucleolar RNA snoR1". It matches the Rfam family "Small nucleolar RNA snoR1". From Rfam's summary of the family: snoR1 is a member of the C/D class of snoRNA which contain the C (UGAUGA) and D (CUGA) box motifs. Most of the members of the box C/D family function in directing site-specific 2'-O-methylation of substrate RNAs. Lineage: Eukaryota; Viridiplantae; Streptophyta; Magnoliopsida; Fabales; Fabaceae. The record is from Rfam by way of RNAcentral.